Molecule: ribosomal RNA, 443 nt
Filed under: uncultured bacterium
Lineage: Bacteria
Description: partial 16S ribosomal RNA
Rfam family: Bacterial small subunit ribosomal RNA
Source: RNAcentral
CCUCCUUUGUGCCGCCGUGGGGAAUAUUGGGCAAUGGGCGCAAGCCUGACCCAGCAACGCCGCGUGAAGGAAGAAGGCUUUCGGGUUGUAAACUUCUUUUGUCAGGGACGAAGCAAGUGACGGUACCUGACGAAUAAGCCACGGCUAACUACGUGCCAGCAGCCGCGGUAAUACGUAGGUGGCAAGCGUUAUCCGGAUUUACUGGGUGUAAAGGGCGUGUAGGCGGGACUGCAAGUCAGAUGUGAAAACCACGGGCUCAACCUGUGGCCUGCAUUUGAAACUGUAGUUCUUGAGUACUGGAGAGGCAGACGGAAUUCCUAGUGUAGCGGUGAAAUGCGUAGAUAUUAGGAGGAACACCAGUGGCGAAGGCGGUCUGCUGGACAGCAACUGACGCUGAGGCGCGAAAGCGUGGGGAGCAAACAGGAUUAGAUACCCUAGUAGUC